Molecule: non-coding RNA, 22 nt
Filed under: Arabidopsis thaliana (thale cress)
Lineage: Eukaryota; Viridiplantae; Streptophyta; Magnoliopsida; Brassicales; Brassicaceae
Source: RNAcentral
UCCUCUGAGGGUUCAUCUCUGC